UUAGAGUCAUUGCAGAGACGCGGACAGACGCAAAUUCACUCCGACAGCGAGCAUGAAGCGGUGGACGCAAAUUCCGCGGUGCGAUUGACGCGAUUGAAGGGGG
Notothenia coriiceps (black rockcod) is the source of this 103-nucleotide long non-coding RNA. RefSeq lists it as uncharacterized. The record is from RefSeq and is a predicted model, not a curated record. NCBI's taxonomy places the organism in Eukaryota, Metazoa, Chordata, Actinopteri, Perciformes, Nototheniidae. The transcript is spliced from 3 exons.